CUCUCUCUCUCUCGCUCUCUCCCUCUCUCUCUCUCCCUCUCUCUGAGUAAGAGGCAUGUGAUAUACUCCACAGACAGAGCAGCUUCAUCUCUCUCAGCUGUAUAGUUUCACCUGCGCUUUACUUUAUACCUGCUGAAAAUAACUCUGCCCAGCUUGCCGGGGCCACACCUCAUGACUCACACCCGCGUGAGACAGACACGCACAUGCACACAUGCAAGUUCACGCUCGACACUUCUUUCAGCAAUAAACACUAGCAGGACACUGAAACUAUUAUUAGACUAUUUUAUUUAUUUAUUUAUUUUCUUAAAAUAUUUAUUUUCCUUAAAAUCAGUCCACAUUGAUUUAUUGCCUUUAACAUUAUUAGCGUUGCAAACUUUAUAACAUUGCAAAAGCUAUAAUAUAGUAUAAAACAGUAAAACCAAAUAAGGGAUAAAAACAAAGAAAACAUUCAUGUAUAGUAAUUUAAUGAUACAUAUUUUGAAAUAGUUCAAUUGUAACUUUCAUCAAUUUGAGGUAUUUCUAAGCAGAGUAUCUGUUGAAGAGCGUUUAGUUAAAUGAGGGAGAAACCUUCACGCUAUAAUAACCUGUCUGUCACCCUCCUGUAAAUGUGCGGGUAAAGACGAUGUUGUUGUGUCUGGACCGCCCUCGAGCGCACCAUUCAUGUUUAUACUUCCAGAGGGGGAAUUCUUCAGCGAAAGGCCUGCGAGAUGACUAACUCCCCCUGGAAAGUACACAGAUCUCCUGGAGGGUGGGGGAACGCAGGUGUGGCAGGAAGCUCGGCCUGGAAGUAUCCAUUCCGGGGAAGGGUGGUGUUUACCGAUGGAGGAAAUUUGGGGAAAUGUAUUUGCACAAGAAAAUCUGCGUAUGGCACAUGUGGAUGCCUUUGGACGGCUUCCUGGACUUUUAAGAGGUUUCACGGUCAGUGUUUGGUCAGCACGUACUGCUAAGAAACGCCCAACAUGAUGUCAUUUACUCAUUACCACGUGAUUCCAAUCCUGCGUGUUUAUAUUUCUGCUGUGGAACACGCAAUGACAUGCUUUGACAUGAGUCUUUAAUGUGCAAUAAAACAAUGUAUAUGAUUGAAAAUAGACUACAUAAAAGUGUAGUAUUUCUAUUUUUCAUUCUUUAAACCUUUUGAUUCGAAGGCUUAUGUUUGAAUGGUUCAAAUUAAUGAAGAACAAUUUUGCCAACAUUUACAUCUUUUCAUUACAAACGCUUUUGUAUUCCUGCUGCUCAACUGGUUAAGCAUCAUCCUUGCAACGCCGAAAGUCACAUUAAUGUGUACCUUAAAUGCACUGUGAGAUGCACAUAAAUAAAUUCGACCAAACCCAUAUUUAUGUGCUCAGUGUAAGAACUAACCAAUGCAUCUGACAACAAAACAAAUUCAGGUGUGUUCCUCACAAGACUGAAUAUGUUGCGCCGGAACUAUUUUUAUCUUGCUUUUGUGCUGUGUGAGAGAAAGAACAUCGUAGGAGUUGGACAUGAGAGUGAGCACAUAAGACCAACUUUAAUUUUUCACUAAACUAUCUUUGGAUAUUGCAAGACAGCUUUUUAGAGGGACAGUUCACCCAAAAAAGAAAAUUCUGUCAUCCUUUCCUCACCUCCGAGUUGUUCCAAAUGUGUAUACAUGUCUUUGUUCUGAUGAACGCAGAGAAAGAUAUUUGGAAGAAUGCUUAUAACCAGACAGAUCUCGCCCCCCACAGACUCCCAUAGUAGGACAAAAGAAGAGAUUUUGAAGAAUGUAGGACAGCACACAGUUCGUUGUAUUUCUUCCUACUAUGGGAGAUUUUGAACAACUCGGAGGUGAGUAAAUGAGGACAGAAUUUUCUUUUUUGGGUGAACUGUCGCUUUAACAACCGAGCAGGUGGCAUCUUCCAAAGCAGGCAGAUUUACCGCAGCCACACGGGAAAUAGAGAUGUUUCCAAUCAGGCCGUCCAAUAACAGCGGUGAUCAAAGCUGUGUGUUUAUUCUUCUGGAGGAUUUGGGUGACACGCUUUUUCCAUGACUCUGAGGUCCAGCUCAUGUACAGAGAGAAGUCUCCACUGCCCCUGCCCCCUUCCUGGAAACAGCUGCGAGGAGAGAGAAAGGCACAGAGAAGAGAAGGAAGGCUAUAAAGUUUAGGGCUGGAUGUGUGGUUUUGGUCUAGAUUACCAGCAGCGCGAAGUUUCUCUUCCCACUUUACUACGAGAAGUCCCCUGUCGCAUAGAGGCCAACACAUGGCUGUUCAGACACAUUCUGUAUCCACACACUAAUGUUGGGUCUGUGUUGGGUGUUUUUCACUUUUACAACACAAGGAAGCGCAGGAGAUAAUAACAACAUCAACAUUAAUGUGCUUCUGCUUGUCUUUGUCUUGUUGUUUUCUUCCCAACAGAAGACACGUUGGACUUUGUUUUUUCUGUUAUGCAAGCCAUUGAAUCUCAGAGCAGACCUGAGCGGUUUUGUUUUGAUGUGCUAGGAAAGAUCGAUCAGAAAAGACAGAGAACCGCGUUGUGCAAUGUUUGACAUUUUGGGGGUUUGACAUUUGCAAAAGAUAACAUCAACAUGUGGUCCCAACAGUAUUUGGACUCUUGCGAAUGUUUGAACACCAUUGCAUUAGAUAACACGAUAUUACAGCAGGUGACUUCUGCAAACAAGUGAUUUUCUCAGAACGUUUUAAGGUUUACUGGUGUGGAUGUGAGAUUUACUGGAUGUAUGAAGUCAGUUCCUCUCAUGUGUCCUUGCAGUGGAACCACAGGUGUCUAUACUGUCAACUCCGAAUAUGUUUGACAACGACAAAAUAUCUUGCUUUGAGUUGAUACGUUUAUUGUGUCUACAGUGACGCACGAACAUUGACCUUGAACAUCAUCCUAUCUCAGAAAGAAAAAUCACAGAUGAGAUCUCUUUAAUAUCUUUAUCAUUUUUUAGAGACAUCAGUGACAUUAAACCGAGAGCAAAAGGAAUCUCAUCUACGUCUCAGAUAUUUCUCCUAAGAAAAAGUGUCAGAAAUCGGACAAAUUUGUCUGUCAUUAGAGUUUGAGAAGAGAUGUGUGAGCUCAGAUUGGUCUCGUCUGCAAUCAAAAGUCAAUAUGAUUGAAGAUCUCAAUAUCAACUCAUUUCUCAUCGAAAGAUUAUUUGACAUCUACAAACUACAUUCAUUUUAUUUGGUCGAUACUUAAAUAAUUAGUCAAUAAUUAAUACUUCAUUUUUGCUUUUUUAAACCAAGCAAACGAAUCCACAUUUGUGCACAGAUGCUGAUGUUGCUUUUAUGAGCCCGUGCGUGCUGUCCGGUUACUGUUAUAUUGUAUUAUUGUAGUUUCUGUUUUGUCUUGUAAUGAGUUGUCGUGACUCAUGAAUGCAGGUGUCAGUGCCUGUAAAAUUGAUCUUUAUGCCCCACAUUUAAUCAAACACGCCAGCUCAGCCAUCAGUCCAUCAACACCCUGAAUAAAGAACAUCGUAAAUCUCGCGAAACUCGUACAGCAGCAUAUUUGCGUGCUGACUUUCACUGUCACACUUUGCUUGUCUGCACAAUUACUUGCCGUGUCUUUAAUUUCAUGGCCUUCUCUUCCAGUGUUCUGAGCUCAAACCUGCCGGUCAGGUUGAUGCAGUAAAGUCUGGAUGACGUGCAGGGCUCGUGUGAGGGGCUUUCAUGCGUUCAUGUAAAUAACAACACUUCAGGUGAACUGCGACCUACUUUAUUUGUUUGUUUGUUCAGAAAAAUGUACAAAACACAUAAUGCACGAUAACAUAAGAGAUGUAUGACAUGGAUAAAUGGAAUGUGCUGAAGAACAAUUCAUGUUCAAGUCAAUAUUUAGAUCUGUUUUACGUAAGCAAGCACUAUGAAAAUCUUGUUAUUGUAGUCUUCAUGUACUGGGUCAUUCCUGUACUGCGGGAUAUUUUUAUUUAAUGCCAAAAACACUUACUGUCAAUUCAUUUUUUUUUUCAUUUCUCAGUGUUCCUUAACGUUUAUUAUCUUCUAAGUUACUCAGUAUAACUUUCCAGCUUGUUUUUUUGUGACAUACCCUCAUAACAUCCUUCAGGAAGUGACAUCAUUCUGGUAGGAAAACAACAACUUGCAAUGAUUUUGAUCAUUUCUUUAAUGUUUGUCAUAUCGGUUGGUUUGUUGCACUCUUAAAUGCUCCAUUUAGUUUGAUAGAAUUACAGGAAUAAGUAAAAAAAACUACGGCAGUCAAAAGUGCCCCAGAACUGUUUGCUGUAUUACAUUCUUCAAAACGUCUUCUUUUGUGUUCAACAGAAGAACAAAAAUGAUAAAGUAUUAUUUCCUACUAUGGGAGUCAAUGGGCAUUCUUCCAAAUAUCUUUCUCUGCGUUGAUCAGAACAAAGACAUUUAUACACAUUUGGGAUGAUGACAGAAUGUACAUUUUUGGGUGAAGAAAUUCUUUCUUAUGAGCUCAUAAUCUCUCAGUGUUUACUAGCACAGCAUGCUCUGAUAGUCUAUCACCUGUACAAUAGUGUUGAAUAAUAUAACAGGUCCACGACAAGAAAAGAUGUAUGUUAAAGAACAGACUACUUUUUUAACAAACCCAUGAGAUUAGUGUCAGAAACAUCAGCUGGGAGCGUGAGCCCUGCUGCUGUUAGAUGUGCAUCUCACAACUGUGUUUUUCACAUUAGAAACCUGAGAGAUGCUGGACUGGUAGGAGGUCCUGACAGCGUUCACAACAGAAGCACUCCCGAGCUGAAACUGUUGCCUGAAAUUAGCUGUUUGGCUUGUGGUUAAAAAGAUGGGUCACCAAAAAAAUGCAUUCUUUCAAUGAACAAUUCACCCCAAAAUGAAAAAUCUGGUAGCAAUUUCUCACCCUCGUGUUGUUGCAAAGUCUUUCUGCGUUCUGUGGCUGUUAACCUUCAGAGAGGACAGCAAAACACUAGAGAAGCAUGGUAAGGGUUCCAAGAGUCUUCUGGAAGAGACUUUAUUCACUGUACAUCUUGCCUUUCAAAUGUGAAGAUGGAAAGUCAAACAGGUUUGGACAUUAAGACGAUUGAAAGAAUACAUUUUAAUUUUCAGAUGAACAUCUCCUCUGAAUCUAUAAGGCAGACACUUUUAGACUUACAGAAAAUACGACACGGACCAGGCCAGAUUCAAACCUAUAAGCAAAAAUCCUCUUUAUUUCUUAUUAUCUCAUACUCUUUAUUAUUAGACAUAUUUAUACAGUAUAUAUGCUUUAUAAUCAAUGUUUUCCUGCACGUGACGAUACAUUUAUUUACACACAUUUUGUCUGCAUGUCUGAUACUGUAAAGUGUUUUUUUUCACCCAUCAAUACGUUUACACGGCAGCUGAAUGUGGAUUUAUCUCUUUCAGUGUCAUGAAGACAGAGAAACAGGCUUCCGCUUGUUCUUAUAUCUCAUAUAGAACUAUUGUUUUGUUUGUUUUAACAUAAUAGUUACUGUAUACGAUACAAACUGUUGAUAUACUAUUUUGGCACUUCAAGUAUACUACUAUGUCCCUAUUCACGUAAUAAUUGUUACUCGAGCUUGGCUCCAAUAUGACAUAACUCUAAAAUCUAAAAUCAUGUUUUUAUUGUGAUUUCCAAUGAAUUUCAAUCAAACUGCAGUUGGUUUGUUUUGAUUUUAGCCAUUGUAACAAAAAACAACUAACUAACACAAUAAAUAAUAAUAAAAACAUGAUUUUUGAAAAAAAAAUGCAGUUAUCUCAUUUUGGAACCAAACUCUUCAAAUAUACCUUUACCUGUACUGUAAGUAGAUGGGAAGUAAAUCAAUUUCAAUUUAAGGGUGCUUUAUUGGCAUGACAAAAUGUACAUUCGUAUUGCCAAAGCAUUUGCAUCCGGGCUGCUUACAAAUAGUGCAAGUCUAAACAAACGAAACGAAAGAUAAUAAUAGUAAUAAAAUAAAAUGGAAUAAAAUAAUCUUCAUCAAACGUUUACAUUUAUGUAUACUAGUCAAGUGUACUGAAGUGUAAUGUGAAGUGUAUUUCUGAAUUUUAGUCCUCAAAAAAGGAAUAUACUGUCAUCAGCUGCCUCUGUCAGGUCAUUGCAAACUCAUGAUCGCUCAUGAUUUUCUCUUUCAGGGAACAGAAAGGGAACAAAUUGAAAUACGAUUGAUGCACUUAAAUGUGUUCUCUAUCACAGUGGCUUUCACAAAGCCCAGAGAGAGAAGAAAAUGGCAUUGCUCAGGUCAGGUCGACCACAUGACACGCGGUGUACUGGUGCCAAAGCGUUCUCCCAGGUGAGCUGAUAAGCACGUGUCGAGAUGUUGGCUUACUGGAAAUUCUCAGUGUGAAUGAAGUCAAUAGAGGAAGACAUUUGUCUGGGGUCUUAACCACAAUAUCCUGAGCAUUCAGCCUCUCUUGUGCGCAGGGGUUAGUUGUGUACAGUCAAACACCUGUGUGCGUGUGUGUGUGCGUGUGUGUGUGUGUGUGUGCGCUCUUCUGAAGGCUGCUAAUUUCCUGAAUGAUGUGGCCUUACGCAGCUAGACGUUGCGCUUGGACCCAGCUGGCUGUUUGGAAACCACGAUGAUGUACUGAGUUUAAAAUUGGGAUGGAUUUCAAAGAAAAGAGCAUUUGCAUCCUUGCACACUUGACAGAAGCCUUUUAACAAUCACGACUUCUCCAGUUCAUGUCCCAGCAUGGCUAACUGAGUCAUGUAAACACAUGACUGUAAAAACCUCCCUUCAAAGUAUAAAUGCAGUCACGUGAGCAUACCCUGAAUGGCUCAAUGCAAAGAUAUGGAAUUAUGACGGAGUAUUUUGCCAGGCUGUGAAAGGUACCGUACUUUCCAUCUACAGAUGAGCGCUGAUAGGCCGUCGUUUGGAGGAAGAGAGAGUUUCCAGUUCUCAUGCGAAACAAAUGAAUUCGUUGUAUUCAAUAUCUUGUGUCUCAAUGUUGACUAAGAGGAUUGUAUGCUGGGUGUAAGUGACUGUGCUUUUACUGAUUUAAUUCAACAUAUUGUGUGUUUCUUUUCACCUGUUAAUUUCGCUGACACCACAUAAAAUACUUUUACAUAGAAUAGAAUACGUUUUGGCCUGUAAUUGUUGCAAAGCAAUGAGACACCGUUUUUCAUGAUACACUGCAGUAAUGUCACUUUGAACUGGAAUGGUAAUAUGUAUUUUUAUUUUACGUACAUUAUAUUUAUCAAGAGAAUAUUUGAGUGUUUACAGUAACAUGUUUUUUAUAGUGUGGGUAUAUUAAUUCAUAUUCUUUUUUAUUGUAUCUGUCCAUCUACACAUUGAUUCACUGUAAAAAAAUCCAACUUGCAAAAUGUUCACCCUACAAAGAUAAAUAAGUAACUUGAACAUAGAAUGUUUAGUUUAAUGAGUCAAAUUAUUGUUUGGCAUAUACUGAACAAUAUUAGCCUAAACAUGUUUCUAAUAAAGAUUAUUUUGUUGACUAGACUUAGACUCUCAAGUUUUUGGCCAAAAUACAUCAGAAAGGUAAAACAGUGUAUUCUGAACAAACAAUAAGAGAUGCAUUGCAGCAUGUUCAAUUCUGUUUCUUUUAAAGAUGAACGUUUUAGUUCUUGCUGGCUUAGUUUAUGCUUAAAUAUUGUUGUUACUGUUGUGUUUAAGAGUUUUUUUUAUGAAUGAUGGUUUUUGAUUGCUUGAGGUGUAAGUGCAUGACACAACAGCAAAACUGGUAUAAAUGCACUCAACACAAACUGUUACACAGUUAUUUGAUCAUUGUUUUGGUCUGUUUGAGGCAGAAAACAUGUCCAAUUCUAGUAAAAGACAAAUACAUUUGUUUAUUUUUAAAUCUAUAUUCCUCUAUUUAUGUUCAGCCAACAAAAAACAUUUUGUUCUGUUGUUCAUUAAGCUUGAUGUUGUGACAACUAAUGACUUAAACAUACAUUUUUAUGUCUCUGUUUGUUGAGUUAACUCAAAAACAUGCUUGUGAUAGGUUGCCUUAUUAUUUUAAGUUGACUCAACUACUUUUUACAGUGUUCAUUUAGCAAUAAUGUAAUUUAUAGCACACUGUGCAGUGUUUCAUAGUUUUAUUAUACAUUUAAUUUUUUGUUACUUAAAGGGUCUGUUCUGACCGUUACUGUGAUUGAUGUUUGAAGAAUUCAUUUUCUUUCAGGGAAUUAAUAAAAGU
Molecule: long non-coding RNA, 8038 nt
Organism: Triplophysa rosa
Lineage: Eukaryota; Metazoa; Chordata; Actinopteri; Cypriniformes; Nemacheilidae
Exons: 3
Source: RefSeq, a predicted model, not a curated record